AGGACGAACGCUGGCGGCGUGCCUAACACAUGCAAGUGGAGCGACGAACCGGGCUUCGGCCCGGGGCCAAGCCGCGAACGGGUGAGUAACACGUGGGUAACCUGCCCCGAUGACCGGGACAACCCGAGGAAACUCGGGCUAAUACCGGAUGUGCUCUCGUCACAUCAGCGGCGUCAGCAAAGGUAGCUUCGGCCUCCGCAUCGGGAUGGGCCCGCGGCCCAUUAGCUUGUUGGUGGGGUAAUGGCCUACCAAGGCUCCGACGGGUAGCUGGUCUGAGAGGACGAUCAGCCACACUGGGACUGAGACACGGCCAAGACUCCUACGGGAGGCAGCAGUGGGGAAUCUUGCGCAAUGGGCGAAAGCCUGACGCAGCAACGCCACGUGCGGGAUGAAGGCCCUCGGGUUGUAAACCGCUUUCAGCAGGAACGAAAUGACGGUACCUGCAGAAGAAGGUCCGGCCAACUACGUGCCAGCAGCCGC
This 480-nucleotide ribosomal RNA is filed under the name uncultured bacterium. RNAcentral's name for it is "SSU rRNA". It matches the Rfam family "Bacterial small subunit ribosomal RNA", at positions 26 to 518 of the family's 1533-position model. The record is from RNAcentral.